CGAUUACAUCACAUUGAAACAUCGGUUCCCGUACGAACACUGAAGUUAAACAACGCUGAGCAAGGUCAGUACCUAGAUGGGUGACUGAUUGAGAAUACCUGGCGUUGUA
Molecule: non-coding RNA, 109 nt
Organism: Acanthosepion pharaonis
Lineage: Eukaryota; Metazoa; Mollusca; Cephalopoda; Sepiida; Sepiidae
Source: the annotation of a GenBank genome assembly